Molecule: long non-coding RNA, 1496 nt
Filed under: Homo sapiens (human)
Lineage: Eukaryota; Metazoa; Chordata; Mammalia; Primates; Hominidae
Description: non-protein coding lnc-ZNF813-1:2
Source: RNAcentral
UCAGAGACCAGUGCUGGCGGGUGCUCCAUAUGCUGAGCGCCGGUCCACUGGGCCCACUGUUCUUUCUCUAUACUUUGUCUCCGUCUCUUAUUUAUUUUCUCAGUCUCUCGUCCCACCUGACAAGAAACACCCACAGGUGUGGAGGGGCAGGCCACCCCUUCAUCACUGAUUGGCCGGGCGCAGUGGCUCACGCCUGUAAUCCCAUCACUUUGGAAGAUCGAGGAAGGCAGACCACCUGAAGUUGGGAGUUUGAGACCAGCCUGACCAACAUGACAGGGUCUCACUUUGUCAUCCAGCCUGGUGUGCAGUGGCGGGAUCUCGGCUCGCUGCAGCCUCAAUCUCCUGGGCUCAAGGGAUCCUCCUACCUCAGCCCCCACCAAGUACCAGCUGCCUUUUAAAUGUCGCUCAUGCAUCACGUUCCCUGCAGGAUCCUGUGUCUCUGAAGAUAAGUAGCAGCCUGUGGGAACUGACAGAAUGGCUGCUGGGAUGUGGCCAUGGGAACGAUCUUCUUAUCGCAGACUGUACUUGGAAUCCUGGGGAUUUCUCUCUUAUUUACCAUUAUCUGUCCUUUUACAUCACUGGGUGCAGGUUAAGGUCCACAGAUUUGAUGAUCAGACACCUAAUUGUAGCCAACACCGUAUUCCUCCUCCCUAGAGGAGUCCCACAGACAAUGGCAGCUUUUGGGUUUAGGCAUUUCCGGAGUGAUUCUGGAUGUAAAUUUCUUUUUUGUGUCCACAGAGUUGUCAGGGGAGUGUCCAUUGGCAGCACCUGCCUCCUGAGUGUCUCCCAGGCCAUCACCAUCAGCCCCAGGAGCUCAGGUGGGCAGAGCUUAAAGGGAACGCCCCCAAGCACGCUGGCUCCUGUGUGUUCCUCAGCUGGCUCCUCCCUGGUCAAUAUCAUUGUUCUCAUGCACGUGACCGGCAAGUGGAGCAACAAAAAUACCACAAAGACAAAAGAUCUGGGAUACUGUUCUGCUGCUGAUCACGAGGACACCAGAGAGUCGCUGACGCGGCACUGCUGUCCUUCCCUGAUGUGAUCUGCCUGGGGCUCAUGCUCUGGGGCAGCAGCUCCAUCGUUUGCAUCCUGCACAGGCACAAGCGGCGGGUCCAGCACAUUCAUAGGACCAGCGUCUCCCCCACAUCCUCCCCUGAGUCCGGAGCUACCAAAACCAUCCUCCUGAGACCCAUAAACACGGUUAUGAAACGAGGCUUGUUAGUGCUGUGCUUGCCAGCAGGGGCCACUGUUUUAUUCUGUACCUCCUGAUCCCCCCUCCACCCACACCGCCCUGGAGCAGCUCUGUGGAAAAAGUGGAAUCAGCUUAGAGGUUUUCGGGAGGAAGACACUGAAACGUAAACGUUAUAAGAAAGUGACGGUGCACAAACACACGUGCCUCAUCUCUGUGUCCCUCGGAGUAGACGGGGGGAAUGUGCGCAGAUGCGAAGUUCUUGCUGUCAUUUUCGUGAUGAAUAGUAAAAUAUAUAUUUUCUCAGAUCCAG